GAUAAACGCUGGCGGCGCACAUAAGACAUGCAAGUUGAACGGACUUAAUCGAAAUAUUUAUAUUUUGAAGCGGUUAGUGGCAGACUGGUGAGUAACGCGUAAGGAACCUGCCUAUUAGAGGGGAAUAACAGUGAGAAAUCAUUGCUAAUACCGCAUAUGCCAUAGAUAUCACAUGAUAACAGUGGGAAAGGAGCAAUCCGCUAAUAGAUGGCCUUGCGUCUGAUUAGAUAGUUGGUGGGGUAACGGCCUACCAAGUCGACGAUCAGUAGCCGGACUGAGAGGUUGAACGGCCACAUUGGGACUGAGAUACGGCCCAGACUCCUACGGGAGGCAGCAGUCGGGAAUAUUGCGCAAUGGAGGAAACUCUGACGCAGUGACGCCGCGUAUAGGAAGAAGGUUUUCGGAUUGUAAACUAUUGUCGUUAGGGAAGAGAAAGGACAGUACCUAAGGAGGAAGCUCCGGCUAACUACGUG
Molecule: ribosomal RNA, 473 nt
Filed under: uncultured bacterium
Lineage: Bacteria
Description: partial 16S ribosomal RNA
Rfam family: Bacterial small subunit ribosomal RNA
Source: RNAcentral